Molecule: long non-coding RNA, 1210 nt
Organism: Amaranthus tricolor (Joseph's coat)
Lineage: Eukaryota; Viridiplantae; Streptophyta; Magnoliopsida; Caryophyllales; Amaranthaceae
Exons: 3
Source: RefSeq, a predicted model, not a curated record
UAAGUAAACUAGGUGCCAAAGUAAUUAAUUUAGUCUUAUCCAUUACAUAAAACCAAGAAUAAAGAUCUUGGAUUUUUUGUAUUUCUUGCUCAUGAAGUAAAAUUUAAUAAUAGAUAAUUUUGCAAUCAAUAGCCUAUAAAUUAACCAAGUGUGCCGUGGGAAAAAUGGGAGAGGAAAAAAAAAAAUCAGAAAAUUUAUUCCUAAAAGCAAAUUUCUAAAGAAAAAUUCUAAAAAAACCCUACAAAAAUUCCUAAAAAUUCUCAAAAAUUUUCUAAUAAUAGUAUUUAGUGUUAAUUAUAGAAAUUCAAGGAGAGAAAGCUAAUUUUGUGGCUAGAAAUUCUACAACAAAGGGAAUUAAUUAAUAGUGAUAUUAUUAAAGAUGCUGCAGGUAAUUUUACAUGAAGUUAUUAAGAAGCUAUUGUAUUGUCUAUAUGAUGUUAGUAUAUAUGUAGUUUAUAUUACGAGUAUGUAAAAACGAUAAUUAUGUAUUAAAGAAAGAUGUAAUACGUAAAAUUAUAUUUUAAUGAUUUAAGUUUUCUUUGUUUUUAUUGAAAAUUCUGUUUUGUCUUAUUUGUUUUUCGCAAUAAUCACGGUACGAUAGACUUCCGCUUAGCAUUACUUACUAUUAUAUUACAUUAAACCUAUAUUUGGAAAAGGAAUGUCCGUUACAUCCUCCUUCUCAACGCAAUGCACCUUCUGCUGGUCUUCUUGGUCCGCGACCGGCACAAAGUUAUCACACCGGGACUAGUGCUUCUAUGAAUUAUAUUCCUACGGCCAUCGAUCAUGCUAUGAACACUCUCUCUUUGUCUACUCCGGAUGAGCAAUUUUACAUGGAUACCGGUGCCACAUCCCACAUGACUCGAUCUCAAGGAUUUGGCCACGAGGAGCAUCGUUCUGAGGUCUAAUAGCACGGGUGAUCUUUAUCCUUUUCCAUCUACACAUGGAGCUUCUCAUACUUCCUCCACAUCAUCAGCUUUUUCCGUUUUUUCUUCUAGUAUUUGGCAUUCCCGUUUAGGACAUCUGGGCAAUGCAGUUUUAAAUUCCUUGUAUUCUUCUUGUUUAAUUCAAUGUAAUAAAGAUCCUCAUUUUGUUUGUCAUUCAUGUCCUUUAGGGAAACACAUUCAAUUACCUUUUGUUAAUUCUAUGUCUAUGAGUUCUAAGCCUUUUGAUAUUGUUCAUAGUGAUUUGUGGACAUCUCUUUCUAGUCCAU